RNAcentral lists this ribosomal RNA (463 nucleotides) under uncultured bacterium. RNAcentral describes it as "bacterial SSU rRNA". It matches the Rfam family "Bacterial small subunit ribosomal RNA", at positions 28 to 516 of the family's 1533-position model. The record is from RNAcentral.
GACUAACGCUGGCGGCGUGCCUAACACAUGCAAGUCGAACGAAGCAGCAAUGCUUAGUGGCAGACGGGUGAGUAACGCGUAGAUAAUGUGCCCUCUUGCGGGGGAUACCGUUUCGAAAGGAACGUUAAUACCGCAUAACACCUUCGGUGGGCAUCCACUGAAGGUCAAACUUCCGGGGCGGGAGGAGCAAUCUGCGUACUAUCAGGUAGUUGGUGAGGUAACGGCUCACCAAGCCUACGACGGUUAACUGGUCUGAGAGGAUGAUCAGUCACACUGGAACUGAGACACGGUCCAGACUCCUACGGGAGGCAGCAGUGAGGAAUAUUGCGCAAUGAGCGAAAGCCUGACGCAGCGACGCCGCGUGGAGGAUGAAGGCCUUCGGGUUGUAAACUCCUGUCAGUGGGGAAGAGAAUGGACGGUACCGACCUGAGGAAGGACUUCGGCUAACUACGUGCCAGCAGCG